GCUGCAUGCCACGCACCCCAGAUUAGUUUCAGUUCGUCUGGAACCUGUGAAGUGGAUUCACUCUUACCUUGCUUGAACCACCAUUUGCCAACACUUCACAAAAGAAUUGCUGUGGAUUCUCCAGCGGCUGUGUGAGCCACGUGAACUCUUUCGAAGGAAGGUGCUAUAGAUUUCUCACCAUUUGACCAUGAAUCUAAUACCAUGCCUACCACAUCGCAGGUAUGCAGUAGGUGGAACUGAUAUAGUGUGGAUAUGCACGCUUCGUGUGACCAAGCAAACAUGACUUAUACAUAAGGACGGGUAGUCCCUGCCAUAGGUAUGCCCUCUGUGAGAGAUGGUGAAUCAACACAAGAUGUUUCCCUCUUUUUCUAGUAAGAAAGGUCUUAUGGAACAUCCUGCCCGAGGUCGAGAGAGCCCUGGACACUCCUGCAUUUCCUGUGCCCUGGCACAUUUUAUUACUGAGCAGGCUUCCCUGUCCCCUGCUGACAUUUGAGUGAAGUGCUUCACUUCACUUCCACUUUUUAUGGCCUCAUCUUCUGUUCAUGACCACUCUCUCUGUAGGGUAGGAACCCACUUUUGAAGGUCUGUCCAACUUUGUUGACUGUCAUUCAGCAAGGUGUCUGAAUCCCAAAUGUGCCAUCACCAGGGGCUAUGGGGGCAGGGUGUGUGUGUGUGUGUGUGUGUAAUGUGUUUCCAGUUAUCUAUUGCUAUAGUGUGCUCUGAAAUGUCCCCACAAAGGCCCUGUGUUAAGGUUGGUCACCACCCUGCAUUUAUCUGACAGGUAAAGGAGCCUUUAAGAGAUGGGGCCUAUUGGAGUAUGCCUUAGAAGUGGACAUUGGGACCUUGGAUCCUAACCAUUGUCUCCUUCACUUCCCGCCUGUCAGGAAGUGAGAGGAUGUCUGUCUGUCUGUCUGUCUGUUUGUUUCAGAAGCCCCAAAGCAAUGGAGGCAAAUCUUAAAUGCUUGCUGUCAGCAGGACAUCAGAGAGACAGAAGCAAGGCAAGUGUAGUGGCUGUUCCUGG
This is a non-coding RNA of Mus caroli (Ryukyu mouse), 1021 nucleotides long. The record is from RefSeq and is a predicted model, not a curated record. NCBI's taxonomy places the organism in Eukaryota, Metazoa, Chordata, Mammalia, Rodentia, Muridae.